GGCCAACAGUGGGGAAUCUUGGACAAUGGGCGCAAGCCUGAUCCAGCCAUGCCGCGUGUGUGAUGAAGGCCUUAGGGUCGUAAAGCACUUUCGCCAGAGAUGAUAAUGACAGUAUCUGGUAAAGAAACCCCGGCUAACUCCGU
This 143-nucleotide ribosomal RNA is filed under the name uncultured marine bacterium. Its description in RNAcentral is "partial small subunit ribosomal RNA". It matches the Rfam family "Bacterial small subunit ribosomal RNA", at positions 346 to 506 of the family's 1533-position model. The record is from RNAcentral.